Molecule: long non-coding RNA, 292 nt
Filed under: Elaeis guineensis (African oil palm)
Lineage: Eukaryota; Viridiplantae; Streptophyta; Magnoliopsida; Arecales; Arecaceae
Description: long non-coding RNA (EGUI_LNC034220)
Source: RNAcentral
ACCAUUCACCAUGCCAAGAAAAAAUAUGGCAUCACAUAUUUUUGGCAUUAAGAAGGAAGAGUCCUUCUUAAUGAAGUCUCUUAAAUUCCUUUUGGAUUUCACAUGUUCCUUUAUUUCCACACGUCAUAUGAUGACUCUUAGGAUAUAUGCAUGCAGAAGAGAGGUUUGAGUCAUUCUCUGGAAAGGAACUCCAUGCCAAAAAUAAAUGUGAUACCCUUUCAUUUUGUGCGUUGAACAUUGGAAGAGUUUUUAAUGUUUUGGACUCUUGAUUUCACUCCUUUCCUUAAUUCCC